GACGAACGCUGGCGGUGUGCUUAACACAUGCAAGUCGAACGGUAAGGCCCUUUCGGGGGUACACGAGUGGCGAACGGGUGAGUAACACGUGAGUAACAUGCCCUCAUCUCUGGGAUAACAGUCGGAAACGGUUGCUAAUACUGGAUAUGAGCUUGCAAGGCAUCUUGUGGGUUGGAAAGAUUUUUUUGGUUGGGGAUGGACUCGCGGCCUAUCAGCUUGUUGGUGAGGUAGUGGCUCACCAAGGCUUCGACGGGUAGCCGGCCUGAGAGGGCGACCGGCCACAUUGGGACUGAGAUACGGCCCAAACUCCUACGGGAGGCAGCAGUGGGGAAUAUUGCACAAUGGACGGAAGUCUGAUGCAGCAACGCCGCGUGCGGGAUGACGGCCUUCGGGUUGUAAACCGCUUUCAAUUGUGACGAAGCUUUUUGUGACGGUAGCAGUAGAAGAAGCACCGGCUAACUACGUG
RNAcentral lists this ribosomal RNA (466 nucleotides) under uncultured bacterium. Its description in RNAcentral is "partial 16S ribosomal RNA". It matches the Rfam family "Bacterial small subunit ribosomal RNA", at positions 28 to 507 of the family's 1533-position model. The record is from RNAcentral.